Molecule: ribosomal RNA, 571 nt
Filed under: Levilactobacillus brevis
Lineage: Bacteria; Bacillati; Bacillota; Bacilli; Lactobacillales; Lactobacillaceae
Description: bacterial SSU rRNA
Rfam family: Bacterial small subunit ribosomal RNA
Source: RNAcentral
GCUUCCGUUGAAUGACGUGCUUGCACUGAUUUCAACAAUGAAGCGAGUGGCGAACUGGUGAGUAACACGUGGGGAAUCUGCCCAGAAGCAGGGGAUAACACUUGGAAACAGGUGCUAAUACCGUAUAACAACAAAAUCCGCAUGGAUUUUGUUUGAAAGGUGGCUUCGGCUAUCACUUCUGGAUGAUCCCGCGGCGUAUUAGUUAGUUGGUGAGGUAAAGGCCCACCAAGACGAUGAUACGUAGCCGACCUGAGAGGGUAAUCGGCCACAUUGGGACUGAGACACGGCCCAAACUCCUACGGGAGGCAGCAGUAGGGAAUCUUCCACAAUGGACGAAAGUCUGAUGGAGCAAUGCCGCGUGAGUGAAGAAGGGUUUCGGCUCGUAAAACUCUGUUGUUAAAGAAGAACACCUUUGAGAGUAACUGUUCAAGGGUUGACGGUAUUUAACCAGAAAGCCACGGCUAACUACGUGCCAGCAGCCGCGGUAAUACGUAGGUGGCAAGCGUUGUCCGGAUUUAUUGGGCGUAAAGCGAGCGCAGGCGGUUUUUUAAGUCUGAUGUGAAAGCCUUCG